RNAcentral lists this ribosomal RNA (381 nucleotides) under Klebsiella pneumoniae. Its description in RNAcentral is "bacterial LSU rRNA". It matches the Rfam family "Bacterial large subunit ribosomal RNA", at positions 382 to 770 of the family's 2925-position model. Lineage: Bacteria; Pseudomonadati; Pseudomonadota; Gammaproteobacteria; Enterobacterales; Enterobacteriaceae. The record is from RNAcentral.
AAAAUGCACAGGCUGUGAACUCGAAGAGUAGGGCGGGACACGUGGUAUCCUGUCUGAAUAUGGGGGGACCAUCCUCCAAGGCUAAAUACUCCUGACUGACCGAUAGUGAACCUGUACCGUGAGGGAAAGGCGAAAAGAACCCCGGCGAGGGGAGUGAAAAAGAACCUGAAACCGUGUACGUACAAGCAGUGGGAGCACCUUCGGGUGUGACUGCGUACCUUUUGUAUAAUGGGUCAGCGACUUAUAUUCUGUAGCAAGGUUAACCGUUUAGGGGAGCCGCAGGGAAACCGAGUCUUAACUGGGCGUUAAGUUGCAGGGUAUAGACCCGAAACCCGGUGAUCUAGCCAUGGGCAGGUUGAAGGUUGGGUAACACUAACUGGA